RNAcentral lists this long non-coding RNA (2065 nucleotides) under Crocodylus porosus (Australian saltwater crocodile). RNAcentral describes it as "lncRNA (ENSCPRG00005010500.1)". Lineage: Eukaryota; Metazoa; Chordata; Crocodylia; Crocodylidae. The record is from RNAcentral.
CUGCCAGCUGUGCAAGGAGCACUACGCCGACCCGCUGGCGCUGGCGCAGCAUCGCUGCUCGCGCAUCGUGCGCGUCGAGUACCGCUGCCCCGAGUGCCACAAGAUCUUCAGCUGCCCCGCCAACCUCGCCUCGCACCGCCGCUGGCACAAGCCGCGCCCCGGCCCCGACGCCCGCAAGCGGGCGGCGGCGCCAAGCCGCUGGGCGAGUUCAUCUGCCAGCUGUGCAAGGAGGAGUACGCCGACCCCUUCGCGCUGGCGCAGCACAAGUGCUCGCGGAUCGUGCGCGUGGAGUACCGCUGCCCCGAGUGCGACAAGGUCUUCAGCUGCCCCGCCAACCUGGCCUCCCACCGCCGCUGGCACAAGCCGCGGCCCGCGCCGCCGCCCGCGCCCGAGCCGCCCAAGCCGGCGGAGGAGCAGAAGGAGGGUGGCGGAGGGGGCGGCGGCGGCAGCGGCAGCGAGCGGGACACGCCGAGCCCCGAGGGCGCGUCCGAGUCGGGCUCGGAGGAGGGUCUCUACGAGUGCCCGCGCUGCAGCAAGAAGUUCCGGCGCCAGGCCUACCUCCGCAAGCACCUGCUGGGCCACCCGGCCCGGGACCCGCCCGACGAGCCGGGCCCGCAGCCGCCGCCGCCGCAGCCGCCCGAGUGCCACGCCUGCCCGGUGUGCGGGGAGAGCUUCCCCGGCAAGAGCAGCCAGGAGCGCCACCUGCGCCUGCUGCACUCCUCCCAGGUCUUCCCCUGCAAGUACUGCCCGGCCACCUUCUACAGCUCGCCCGGCCUCACCCGGCACAUCAACAAGUGCCACCCGUCGGAGAACAGACAGGUCAUCCUGCUCCAGAUGCCCGUGCGCCCCGCCUGCUAGAGCCCGGGGCCAGCCCCAGCGCCGUGCCUUCGCCCCCGGGAGACCCCCGCCGCCGCCGCCGCCCGCCACGUGCCGCGCUCUGCCUUUCGCCCGCUUACAGCCGCUGCCCCCGGGUUCCCUUCGCCUGCCCGCCGCCCCGCCUCGCUGCACCCCCGGCCCUGGACAAGCGGGGCGCCCGGCGGGGGGGAUGCCAAACUCGUGCCCGUGGUGACUCCCGCCUCUCUGUAGCUCCCGCCGCCCCGGUUGAUUGCUAGUGUUGAUGGCGUUUUAAGGUCUCUUAGGAAGUCUCUGUCUCUCUGUCUCCCCUCUUCCCAUGUCUGUAGCCUACGGGUUGGCCUGCUUUCUGUUUUUUGGAAAGUCCGUCUCGAAGAAUCAAUGCCUUUCUCUCUCUCUCCUCUCUCUCUCUCUCUCUCUCACAGGCUGUAAAUUGAACUCCCUCCCCCUCCCUCAAUGAUUAGCUUUAUUAUGGCUUGUGAAAUGCUGGAAUCUGGCUUUACCUAUAUCUGAGGUUGGUCUUUUUUUUUUCCUUUCUUUCUUUCUUUCUUCUUCGUACGUGAACAAAUCAAACUGCUGAAGGGAAAAGCAAAGCAAAGCCGAGCUAAGAAGCACUGUCUUUGCGCAGCCACGAAUGCCUUGACUCUGCUCUCGCUGGUGCCCAGAGACUGCUGUAGAAAACUGCCUUAAACAGCCCCUGCCCCCCCCCACGCCCCCAGCCCAGCGCCUCUGACUAUAUGUAUAUGUUGAUUUGAGUAAUUAUGUUAUUUAUUCCUUAUUUAUUUAUAUUAAUGAUGAAGAUUAUUAUUUGAUGGCGAAUAUUUUUUAUUGCGCUUGCCCCCCACCCCUGCCCUCCCUCUUGCCAUUUCACUGUGCGUUUUACCAGGUCUUUCUGGUUUGUUUUGAUUCCCGGCCUCCUCUGUUUUUUUUCUAAAGGGAUCUGCUCAAAAAAGAAAAAAAGAAAAGAAAAGUAAAAGGUUUUAACUUUUAUACCUAAAAAAGAAAUCCGUCCCCCAGGGAUGAAACCAUUGGACUCCGCUUUCCCAGGGCACAGACAGCUCUCGUGCCGCCGCCCGCUCUCACUUUUAGAUGCAAUCUCUUUUCUACACACAUUAUUUUCUUAACUGUUAGCUAUUUAUAGGAUGGCUUGGAUAGAACUGUUUCGACUGUAUAACUAUUUACUAUUCAAAUAAAAUAUUUUCCAAUUCAAAGG